This 429-nucleotide long non-coding RNA is filed under the name Rattus norvegicus (Norway rat). RNAcentral's name for it is "long non-coding RNA NONRATT004479". The record is from RNAcentral. Lineage: Eukaryota; Metazoa; Chordata; Mammalia; Rodentia; Muridae.
UCCACAAGGCUCACCAUUGCAAGUCUCGGGGUGUAGGACCCAGGGGUCUGAGUGCCAGGAAAGUUCCCCAUGGUUCUGAUAUCUUGUGGCUUUAGGGGAGAUUCUCAGAUAGUUCUCUUAGCUUGGUUCUGUGUGGGAUGAGGUAGGAUGAGGCUAUGCUGACGUCCUCUGUCUGGAGAAAUCAAGGAGCUGAGGCAGGUGCCUUAAUGCAUCUGUCUUAAUGAGUCUGGGUCCAGGAAGUAGAGGAGCCUUUACCUAGAAGGGGUACAUCUCCCUGCUCUGUUUCUUUGUUACUAAGUUUCCCAGGCUGGGCUUCAAUUUGUCAUCCUGCUACAGCGUCCUGAGUGCCGGGAUUACAAAUGUGCACCACCACACCAGGCUCAAAGUCUGCAUUAUUAUUACUGCUUUUAAUUAAAAAAAAUUAAAUUC